Molecule: ribosomal RNA, 388 nt
Filed under: uncultured bacterium
Lineage: Bacteria
Description: bacterial SSU rRNA
Rfam family: Bacterial small subunit ribosomal RNA
Source: RNAcentral
AAUGGGCGCAAGCCUGACCCAGCAACGCCGCGUGAAGGAAGAAGGCUUUCGGGUUGUAAACUUCUUUUAGCAGGGACGAAACAAAUGACGGUACCUGCAGAAUAAGCUCCGGCUAACUACGUGCCAGCAGCCGCGGUAAUACGUAGGGAGCAAGCGUUAUCCGGAUUUACUGGGUGUAAAGGGCGCGUAGGCGGGACUACAAGUCAGAUGUGAAAUCUGGGGGCUCAACCCCCAAACUGCAUUUGAAACUGUAGUUCUUGAGUGAUGGAGAGGCAAGUGGAAUUCCUAGUGUAGCGGUGAAAUGCGUAGAUAUUAGGAGGAACACCAGUGGCGAAGGCGACUUGCUGGACAUUAACUGACGCUGAGGCGCGAAAGCGUGGGGAGCAAA